This 376-nucleotide ribosomal RNA is filed under the name uncultured organism. Its description in RNAcentral is "partial 16S ribosomal RNA". It matches the Rfam family "Bacterial small subunit ribosomal RNA", at positions 527 to 896 of the family's 1533-position model. The record is from RNAcentral.
GUAGGUGGCAAGCGUUGUCCGGGAAUUAUUGGGGCGUAAAGCGCGCGCAGGCGGUCCUUUAAGGUCUGAUGUGAAAGCCCACGGGCUCAACCGUGGAGGGUCAUCGGAAACUGGGGGACUUGAGUACAGAAGAGGAAAGCGGAAUUCCACGUGUAGCGGUGAAAUGCGUAGAGAUGUGGAGGAACACCAGUGGCGAAGGCGGCUUUCUGGUCUGUAACUGACGCUGAGGCGCGAAAGCGUGGGGAGCAAACAGGAUUAGAUACCCUGGUAGUCCACGCCGUAAACGAUGAGUGCUAAGUGUUAGAGGGUUUCCGCCCUUUAGUGCUGCAGCUAACGCAUUAAGCACUCCGCCUGGGGAGUACGGCCGCAAAGGCUG